This 1420-nucleotide long non-coding RNA is filed under the name Musa acuminata (dwarf banana). Its description in RNAcentral is "long non-coding RNA (MACU_LNC006295)". The record is from RNAcentral. Lineage: Eukaryota; Viridiplantae; Streptophyta; Magnoliopsida; Zingiberales; Musaceae.
UUAAGUCUAGGCAUGUUUCUAUGUAGGCUUCAGAUAUCAUAAUACAAUUGUCAGAUGUUCAACCAUGUUUUACAUCAUUUGACUAAGCUCAUACAAUUUGUCAGAUUCAUUAUUGCCUGUCCAAGAUGUUCUAUUCUUGCAGCAUUCAAAAGUGAUUCUGGAAGAUGAGCAAAUGUGAUUAUAAAAGAGGGUUGUGUUUGUGUCACACUUUAUUAAUUUAAUCUUUUCAAUCUAGUAGAAUAUCAUACCCUAUGUUUGAAGUUGAAGCAGCUGAAUUGUCCUUAUUUUCUUUCUCUUUUAAACUGAAUAAUUAUUGUGAUUCUGAUGAAAAUGUCAAGUUGUAUGAUGGUUGAAGCAGAGUCCAGUUCCUGCACAUAAUGGCAGGUUAGCUUAUCUCAGAUGAUUGCUCAGUACUAGUAAAGUUGGAGGAUUAAAACUAGAGGCAGAGUCCAACUUAUCUCAAAUUUGGUACCAUGUUUCUUUGAGUUUGGAUGACUCCAUCAAGGGAGUGACAGGAACAUUUGCUUCAAUCAAAUCACAGAACCUAAAUUUUCUACGGAUCAGUCUCUUUGCUAGUUUACACAUGAUCACCAGUGGCAAAUGGAAGUGUUGAUGGAACAAGACUUACCAACAACCUGUUGACUUAAAGAAGGACUGAUGUCAGUCCCUCUCAGCUCCAUUGAUUGGCUACUGGAGAAGAAAUUUUCCAUCCGAAGAGAUGUUGAAGGGACCAAAAAUGAAGUCUCAGAAAGAUCACAGGCUUUUUUGACCCUGCAGAUGAAAGGGUUGGCUUGUUUAUUUGGUCUUCGUUUCUGUUGAAGAAACCUUGUCCUCAGCCAAUUGCAAAACAACACAUCCUUUUGAUGUUAUCUUUAUCCAGUAAUAGAUUAUUGCAGUGAAGAAGUUAAUCCAAGGUUAAGUUCAUUUCUUCUCUUCUGAGCCUUCUCUUGUUAUCAUCUUAUCAGGAACAUGUUGUUUGCAAGGGAAAAAAUGGGGUUAAUUUUCAAUUUACUUGAACAACAGACAUGAGUUCUCUUAUAAGUGAAUUGUUUGAUUGAUUUAAGAUCUCCUGUUGUAGGAAACCUGAAGAAGAAGGGGGCUUUGCAGAUGGAACAGACUGCUGAUAAAGAAGGGAAGGAUGCAGGAAUGGGUGCAUCUACAGUCAAAUUUAAUGAUCUUAUUAUAUAGUAUUAAAACUAGACCCACUAGUGGCACAUCUUAUAUUCAUAUUGAUUGGUGAAGGAUCUAAACAUUUCAACCACAACAUGGAUUUCAUUCUAGUAAAUUAACUCAUCAAUUGACAUUCAUCCUCCUUUUCUUAUAUUUGUCAAUGUCAUAUGGUUCUGGGUGUUCUAUUAGUUUCUCUUGCCAUGGACAUCAAGCUAGAAUGGUUGCUUGGAAUGAUGUAUUUUGUUCACUC